CUCGCCGUUAAGGCGAUCUGCUAAACACUUCUGCGCGUAGGUCCGACGCUCAUGACUCGGGCCCGCUCUCUUGCAACAGAGAGUGUCCCUGCGCA
Non-coding RNA from Synechococcus sp. MIT S9508, 95 nucleotides. NCBI's taxonomy places the organism in Bacteria, Bacillati, Cyanobacteriota, Cyanophyceae, Synechococcales, Synechococcaceae. The record is from Rfam.